AUUAAACAGUCUAACCUAGGAGACAAUUUGCAGAGAAGGAUUGCUAACAGCUUCAAUCCGUAGAAUACGAUUAAUCACACAGCUGCGAUAUGAACUGAACCCAGAUAGCUGUAGAGCAAGUUGAACAGUUCCUCCCCAUUAAUGAUUAAUGAUUAAUGAACUGCUACAUGGGAUCAGUCAUACCAUUGUGAACCAAGAAAUCUAAUAGAUCUUUCCUGUUUGACCUGGAAACACACAGGGCCAUUAA
Molecule: unclassified non-coding RNA, 247 nt
Filed under: Hevea brasiliensis (rubber tree)
Lineage: Eukaryota; Viridiplantae; Streptophyta; Magnoliopsida; Malpighiales; Euphorbiaceae
Source: RNAcentral